Molecule: long non-coding RNA, 855 nt
Filed under: Homo sapiens (human)
Lineage: Eukaryota; Metazoa; Chordata; Mammalia; Primates; Hominidae
Description: GABRG3 antisense RNA 1 (GABRG3-AS1)
Source: RNAcentral
AGUGUAACAAUGUCCUUUGUCUCUGACCCAGGCAUCUCUUGUCUUCUUCCAGAAACCAUGACACUAUGGCAGGCCAACUUACUAGCUUUCAAGUAAGGUAACAUCUCAGACCAUCAUAGGUUUUGACAGGGGAAACUCUGAAGGACCACAGGAGUUGGAGGUUCCACGUAUCUCUAAGUAGUAACAUACGAUGGGUCCAAAACAGAAGAAAGAGAACUCAAGAUUCCCGAGCCACAGAGCUGUUGAUUGGAGGCUGACUCAGAGAAACCCUGGAUUCAGUGACAUACAGAGACAACAGGUACAGGAUCAGUAUGGGUUUUAAUUGAGGGGCUCGGCACCAAAUGACAGACUUGACACAUCCACCCCCACCAUGGAUGCUGUCCGUCCACUGUUGCACAAUGUCCUUCAGUGUCUAAUUUACAGAUCCAGCUGUAUUUCCCCUUCCACCUGCAUCCCUGAAGUUCCUCCCACCUGAAAACUUCACCUGACCCAAGAAAGCAAAGGAAAAAACCCGGAGAGCCAGCUCAUAGUCUGGUUCACUGUUUAACAGCCAGAAGCCAGAGCCUGCGUACUAGAAGUGGAUGCCCAGGAAGUACUUGUGAGCUGACUAAGAAUGUAAGAACGCCACCCACUUCAUUCAGGAAAGUGAGGCAGGAUUCCAUGGAGUAUGAAUGACUGCACAUGGAACAAGCAGGUUAUCAUUUAUAUUCAGCAAGGGACCUCCAUGAACAGGACAUUUGGGGAGCUGCUAUCAAACAUCAGAACUUCUGACACUGUGCACACAGUCUUAUAUUGUGCCUUGUCUGUUGUGAUGUCUCACUACAGUAAUGAUUAAGAUGAUGAGCACUUAAAAAA